UAUCUCUGUAGAGUCUGCAUAUCAAUAAGCGGAGGAAAAGAAACUAACUAGGAUUCCCUCAGUAACGGCGAGUGAAGCGGGAAGAGCUCAAAUUUGAAAUCUUCAAGGUUCUACCUUGACGAAUUGUAGUUUAAAGAAGUGUUUUCUGUUGGAGUUUUGGUAAAAGUUCUUUGGAAUAGGACAUCAUAGAGGGUGAGAAUCCCGUAUUUGACCAUUUCUUCCAGCUGUGUGAUACACUUUCAAAGAGUCGGAUUGUUUGGGAAUGCAGUCCAAAAUGGGUGGUAAAUUUCAUCUAAAGCUAAAUAUUGGCGAGAGACCGAUAGCGAACAAGUACCGUGAGGGAAAGAUGAAAAGAACUUUGAAAAGAGAGUUAAACAGUACGUGAAAUUGUCAAAAGGGAAGCGUUUGACACCAGUGUUGUUUUCUCGAAAAUCAAUUAAAAAAGAUUGGAUUUUGUGUUGUAUUGACUUUAUCAGCUUUCUGCACUCUUUUCUUGUCUUUUUUAAUGCACUUUUCGUUUAACAAGUCAACAUCAAUUUCUUUUGUUGUAAAAGGGUCAUGAGGAAGGUGGCUUUCUUUUCGGAGAAAGUGUUUAUAGCCUUGUGCCUCUGCAAUCGGAGAGAUUGAGGUCUGCAGCGUAGAUCCUUCGGGGUUAGAUACAUUUGUGCUAAGCUAUAGCCUUGUAUAGACAACUUGUUGACUAUGCUCAGUCAUGUAGCUUACUCGCUUAUGUCAUUUUACCUACGCUUAGGAUGUUGAGUAGCGACAUACGCAC
RNAcentral lists this ribosomal RNA (775 nucleotides) under uncultured Neocallimastigales. RNAcentral's name for it is "partial large subunit ribosomal RNA". It matches the Rfam family "Eukaryotic large subunit ribosomal RNA", at positions 24 to 649 of the family's 3401-position model. Lineage: Eukaryota; Fungi; Neocallimastigomycota; Neocallimastigomycetes; Neocallimastigales. The record is from RNAcentral.